RNAcentral lists this ribosomal RNA (501 nucleotides) under uncultured bacterium. Its description in RNAcentral is "partial 16S ribosomal RNA". It matches the Rfam family "Bacterial small subunit ribosomal RNA", at positions 30 to 523 of the family's 1533-position model. The record is from RNAcentral.
AUUGAACGCUGGCGGCAUGCCUUACACAUGCAAGUCGAACGGCAGCACGGGUGCUUGCACCUGGUGGCGAGUGGCGAACGGGUGAGUAAUAUAUCGGAACGUACCUUAUUGUGGGGGAUAACGCAGCGAAAGCUGUGCUAAUACCGCAUAAUCCCUUAGGGGGAAAGCGGGGGACCGUAAGGCCUCGCGCAAUUAGAGCGGCCGACACCUGAUUAGCUAGUUGGGGAGGUAAAGGCUCACCAAGGCGACGAUCAGUAGCUGGUCUGAGAGGACGAUGAGCCACACUGGGACUGAGGCACGGCCCAGACUCCUGCGGGAGGCAGCAGUGGAGAAUUUUGGACAAUGGGGGGAGCCCUGAUCCAGCAAUGCCGCGUGAGUGAAGAAGGCCUUCGGAUUGUAGAGCUCUUUUGUCAGGGAAGAAACACCGGCUCUAACACAGUCCGGGAAUGACGGUACCUGAAGAAUAAGCACCGGCUAACUACGUGCCAGCAGCCGCAGUAA